MicroRNA precursor from Gorilla gorilla gorilla (western lowland gorilla), 65 nucleotides. It matches the Rfam family "mir-3116 microRNA precursor family". The record is from Rfam. NCBI's taxonomy places the organism in Eukaryota, Metazoa, Chordata, Mammalia, Primates, Hominidae.
UAUUGAGCACUUACUCUGUGCCAGGUACUUUGUACAUGUUCCUGGCACAGAGUAAGUGCUCAAUA